Molecule: ribosomal RNA, 419 nt
Filed under: uncultured bacterium
Lineage: Bacteria
Description: partial 16S ribosomal RNA
Rfam family: Bacterial small subunit ribosomal RNA
Source: RNAcentral
AAUAUUGGUCAAUGGACGCAAGUCUGAACCAGCCACGUCGCGUGAAGGAAUACGGCCCUACGGGUUGUAAACUUCUUUUGUAAGUGUAUAAAGUGUAGUAGGUGUACUAUUUUGCAUGUACCUUUCGAAUAAUGAUCGGCUAACUCCGUGUCAGCCGCCGCGGUAAUACGGAGGAUCCGAGCGUUAUCCGGAUUUAUUGGGUUUAAAGGGUGCGCAGGCGGGAGAUUAAGUCGGCGGUGAAAUUUUGCAGCUCAACUGUAAAAGUGCCUUCGAAACUGGUUUUCUUGAGUGUGGAUGAAGUAGGCGGAAUUUGUGGUGUAGCGGUGAAAUGCAUAGAUAUCACGAGGAACUCCGAUUGCGCAGGCAGCUUACUAAGCCAUAACUGACGCUCAUGCACGAAGGCGUGGGGAUCAAACAGG